This 216-nucleotide long non-coding RNA is filed under the name Phaseolus vulgaris (common bean). RNAcentral describes it as "long non-coding RNA (PVUL_LNC002196)". Lineage: Eukaryota; Viridiplantae; Streptophyta; Magnoliopsida; Fabales; Fabaceae. The record is from RNAcentral.
GGCAGUGCCUCGGAAGGAGCUGGGCCUUGAGGGGGCGAUCUGCCCAGGGCAACGGCGAUCUCCACCACCGAGUUUGGCACGGUUUGAGAACCCGACGCCAAUUUGUGGGUUCGGGCGAGCGCCCUCAAUUCAGCCAACUUGCCUUUGCCCAACAUGAGAUCUGCACAGUGCAAGAAUAUACAAGUAAGAGGAGAGGCAAAGGUGAAAUGAGUGUAC